Molecule: transfer RNA, 90 nt
Filed under: Lacticaseibacillus paracasei subsp. paracasei Lpp125
Lineage: Bacteria; Bacillati; Bacillota; Bacilli; Lactobacillales; Lactobacillaceae
Description: Lactobacillus paracasei subsp. paracasei Lpp125 tRNA-Ile
Rfam family: tRNA
About the family: Transfer RNA (tRNA) molecules are approximately 80 nucleotides in length. Their secondary structure includes four short double-helical elements and three loops (D, anti-codon, and T loops).
Source: RNAcentral
GGAGAUAUACCCAAGUGGCUAAAGGGGGCAGCCCGAUAAGCUGUUAGGUCGGCGUAAGCCGAUGCGUGGGUUCGAAUCCCACUAUCUGAG